Molecule: transfer RNA, 73 nt
Filed under: Paraburkholderia caribensis
Lineage: Bacteria; Pseudomonadati; Pseudomonadota; Betaproteobacteria; Burkholderiales; Burkholderiaceae
Description: tRNA-His
Source: RNAcentral
GGGGCGGCGAGCGAAAUCGACGGCUGGAUUGUGAUUCCUGUCGUCGUGGGUUCGAGUCCCAUCAGCCACCCCA